Long non-coding RNA from Spinacia oleracea (spinach), 583 nucleotides. RefSeq lists it as uncharacterized. Lineage: Eukaryota; Viridiplantae; Streptophyta; Magnoliopsida; Caryophyllales; Amaranthaceae. The record is from RefSeq and is a predicted model, not a curated record. The transcript has 3 exons.
CGCGCUUUAGCGCCGCCAUGCCGCCCAGCCAGCCGCCGCCUGUCUCCCUUCUUCUCCCCUCCUCCUUCGUGCCCCCUCCCCUGCUGCUCGUGUUCUACAAUUUCAGAAACAAAGUUUCUGAAAUUGAAACUUUGUUUUAUUCCUCCUUAUUCAAGUUGGGCCAAAUCAAUUGGGCUUUGGAAUCGGACUUGAAGCUCAGGACGAACGAUCCAUCGAAUAGGAAGUAUAAACUACGGUUGAGGUACGAAGAAGAUCGUGGGAUGCCUUAGAGUGAGGAUGCAACCAUCAAAUUCACGAUCGAUGUUUAAUAAAGAUAACUAUGUCUCACUAGUAAUAAUGGAUGUAUUAUUUAAACUCUAAGUAUUAAGUUAGAUUUUAAUAUUUAUCUUUAAUCAAUGUUAGGAAUAUUUAUUAAAGUUCGUUUAGAUUUCGGUGUAAAUAUUAAAGAAUUAAUCGAAGUGAAGUAUAAUUACAGUUACUCAACAGUAGUCAGUAAAUUUAAAAAGGGUAUGUCGCCUUGUAUUUCCCACGAGGGAGAUACGGCAGUGACGCUCCGACUAAAUUAGGGUUUCCGCUGCUAAUU